GGACUACUGGGGUAUCUAAUCCUGUUUGCUCCCCACGCUUUCGCUCCUCAGCGUCAGGCAAGGCCCAGAGAACCGCCUUCGCCACCGGUGUUCCUCCCGAUAUCUGCGCAUUUCACCGCUACACCGGGAAUUCCAUUCUCCCCUACCUGCCUCUAGCCUGCCCGUAUCCACUGCAAGCCCGGGGUUAAGCCCCAGGUUUUCACAGCGGACGUAGCACGCCGCCUACGAGCUCUUUACGCCCAAUAAUUCCGGACAACGCUUGCGCCCUACGUGUUACCGCGGCGGCUGGCAC
RNAcentral lists this ribosomal RNA (292 nucleotides) under uncultured bacterium. RNAcentral's name for it is "partial 16S ribosomal RNA". The record is from RNAcentral.